Molecule: ribosomal RNA, 270 nt
Filed under: Franconibacter pulveris
Lineage: Bacteria; Pseudomonadati; Pseudomonadota; Gammaproteobacteria; Enterobacterales; Enterobacteriaceae
Description: partial 16S ribosomal RNA
Rfam family: Bacterial small subunit ribosomal RNA
Source: RNAcentral
ACUUUAAUUGAAGAGUUUGAUCAUGGCUCAGAUUGAACGCUGGCGGCAGGCCUAACACAUGCAAGUCGAGCGGUAACAGGGAUCAGCUUGCUGAUUCGCUGACGAGCGGCGGACGGGUGAGUAAUGUCUGGGAAACUGCCUGAUGGAGGGGGAUAACCACUGGAAACGGUGGCUAAUACCGCAUAAUGUCGCAAGACCAAAGUGGGGGACCUUCGGGCCUCAUGCCAUCAGAUGUGCCCAGAUGGGAUUAGCUUGUAGGUGGGGUAACGG